Molecule: long non-coding RNA, 692 nt
Organism: Oncorhynchus keta (chum salmon)
Lineage: Eukaryota; Metazoa; Chordata; Actinopteri; Salmoniformes; Salmonidae
Exons: 2
Source: RefSeq, a predicted model, not a curated record
GUGUCACACAUAGAUUUAAACCAGGUGGACAUCAAUCUGUCUGAUAUGGACAGGAGACAGCAGCACUGCUCUGAUGACCUGCAGAGGAGAGGAGACAAACAGACAGAGGUACAGAAGACGUUACUUGAAUCACCUUCCACAACACAUGAAUAAUGACAUUUGUAAACCCAGUGAUCGUGGUGCCCUUUGUUUAAUGCAUGUCAACAAGACCCCGGGACAACACACUCCUUCUAAGGCUGAGAAACAGGUGUGUGGAAAUGUAUGACAGAUAAUGACGACAAUACGAGGGGGGGGGGUUCUCUCUGUAUGUAGACAUUGAACAAUGUUCUGUAUAGAUAUGACAUCAAUAAGACGAGGUUCUGUAUAGAUAUGACAUCAAUAAGACGAGGUUCUGUAUGUUCUGUAUAGAUAUGACAUCAAUAAGACGAGGUUCUGUAUAGAUAUGACAUCAAUAAGACGAGGUUCUGUAUGUUCUGUAUAGAUAUGACAUCAAUAAGACGAGGUUCUGUAUGUUCUGUAUAGAUAUGACAUCAAUAAGACAAGGUUCUGUAUAGAUAUGACAUCAAUAAGACAAGGUUCUGUAUGUUCUGUAUAGAUAUGACAUCGAUAAGACGAGGUUCUGUAUGUUCUGUAUAGAUAUGACAUCGAUAAGACGAGGUUCUGUAUGUUCUGUAUAGAUAUGACAUCGAUAA